This 102-nucleotide transfer RNA is filed under the name Promethearchaeota archaeon. RNAcentral describes it as "Candidatus Lokiarchaeota archaeon tRNA-OTHER". It matches the Rfam family "tRNA". Rfam says of the family: Transfer RNA (tRNA) molecules are approximately 80 nucleotides in length. Lineage: Archaea; Promethearchaeati; Promethearchaeota. The record is from RNAcentral.
GGGCCUGUAGAUUAGUCGCAGAUGGAUGAUUUUAUAUAAAAAGCAUCCUGAAACGCGUGAUUCGCAUUCACGAGACCGCGGGUUCAAUUCCCGCCAGGUCCA